This 884-nucleotide ribosomal RNA is filed under the name Usnea cornuta. RNAcentral describes it as "eukaryotic LSU rRNA". It matches the Rfam family "Eukaryotic large subunit ribosomal RNA", at positions 34 to 936 of the family's 3401-position model. The record is from RNAcentral. Lineage: Eukaryota; Fungi; Ascomycota; Lecanoromycetes; Lecanorales; Parmeliaceae.
CUAGCAUAUCAAUAAGCGGAGGAAAAGAAACCAACAGGGAUUGCCUCAGUAACGGCGAGUGAAGCGGCAACAGCUCAAAUUUGAAAUCUGGCUCCGUCGGGGUCCGAGUUGUAAUUUGUAGAGAGUGUUUCGGGUGAGACCACGGUCUAAGUCUAUUGGAACAUGGCGUCAUAGAGGGUGAGAAUCCCGUAUGUGACUGUGGCUCGAGCCCAUGUGAAGCCUCUUCGACGAGUCGAGUUGUUUGGGAAUGCAGCUCAAAAUGGGUGGUAAAUUUCAUCUAAAGCUAAAUACUGGCUGGAGACCGAUAGCGCACAAGUAGAGUGAUCGAAAGAUGAAAAGCACUUUGGAAAGAGAGUCAAAAAGUACGUGAAAUUGUUGAAAGGGAAGCGCUUGCAACCAGACCUGUCCGUAGGUGAUCAGCCGCUGUUCUCAGCGGUGCACUCGCUCUGCGAUCAGGCCAGCAUCGGUUUCGGCGGUCGGAUAAAGGCCUUGGGAAUGUAGCUUCCUUCGGGGAGUCUUAUAGCCCUCGGUGCAAUGCGGCCAGCCGGGACCGAGGACCGCGCUUCGGCUAGGAUGCUGGCGUAAUGGUUGUAAGCGACCCGUCUUGAAACACGGACCAAGGAGUCUACCAUCUAUGCGAGUGUUUGGGUGUUAAACCCAUGCGCGGAAUGAAAGUGAACGGAGGUGAGAACCCUUUAGGGCGCAUCAUCGACCGAUCCAGAUGUCUUCGGAUGGAUUUGAGUAUGAGCAUAGCUGGUGGGACCCGAAAGAUGGUGAACUAUGCCUGAAUAGGGUGAAGCCAGAGGAAACUCUGGUGGAGGCUCGCAGCGGUUCUGACGUGCAAAUCGAUCGUCAAAUUUGGGCAUAGGGGCGAAAGACUAAUC